This 507-nucleotide ribosomal RNA is filed under the name uncultured bacterium. Its description in RNAcentral is "bacterial SSU rRNA". It matches the Rfam family "Bacterial small subunit ribosomal RNA", at positions 8 to 507 of the family's 1533-position model. The record is from RNAcentral.
AGAGUUUGAUCCUGGCUCAGAUUGAACGCUGGCGGAAUGCUUUACACAUGCAAGUCGAACGGCAGCACGGGAGCUUGCUCCUGGUGGCGAGUGGCGAACGGGUGAGUAAUAUAUCGGAACGUACCCCGUCGUGGGGGAUAACUCUCCGAAAGGAGUGCUAAUACCGCAUACGACCUGAGGGUGAAAGCGGGGACCUGCAAGGGCCUCGCGCGAUGGGAGCGGCCGAUAUCGGAUUAGCUAGUUGGUGAGGUAAAGGCUCACCAAGGCGACGAUCCGUAGCGGGUCUGAGAGGACGACCCGCCACACUGGAACUGAGACACGGUCCAGACUCCUACGGGAGGCAGCAGUGGGGAAUUUUGGACAAUGGGGGAAACCCUGAUCCAGCCAUUCCGCGUGAGUGAAGAAGGCCUUCGGGUUGUAAAGCUCUUUCAGCAGGAACGAAACGGUAGGCUUUAAUACAGUCUGCUAAUGACGGUACCUGCAGAAGAAGCACCGGCUAACUACGUG